UUUGUACCAGCCUGACAGCAUCGUUUAUUGAUAACAUCCAGACUGAUGAUUUGUUCCUAUUCUCAGCGAGCCCUCCACAGGGCACUACUACUGGGCUGGUAGCGUAGCAAGAAAGAUGCUUCCCCCAGCAGCAGGCUCUAAGAAGCCCCAGCCAAGACUAUUUCAGGCUACCUAGAUCUGGGGCAUUCCGUGCAUGUCACUGGUUCCUGAUCCAAGCGACAAAGAGCAGCUGGAGUGCUUUCCCAGUGAGGACAGCUGGAGCUCAGGCCUGGCCUCCCAGACUGUGCAUACUUUGGCUGUGCAGCGCUGCUGCUAUAGCACAUCCUCAUCUCGCACUGCAGGGACAUUGGUGGCCAGGGUUUCUCUUCGACUCUAGGUUAGACCUUAUAACCGAGCCACCAAUGCAGCCACUUUUGAAUGUGCCUUUCACUCUGUGCUCCAGAACCGGCCAUCGCUGGAGAGAUAUGACACAAAAUUUGGAAGCAUUUCCAACCUCAAAAAAAUAAAAGUUUUUCUGAAUUAAAAUUUGUGGUCAUGGAAACUCAAAUUUAAAAAUCAGAUUUUCUAACUGAAUUGAAGGCUAUGCAAUUAAGCAAAUGAAUGACUAAUGAAAUUAUUAUAAAGCACUUAGCAGAAGCAUUAUGCAAAUUCGAGUGGAGAAUAACAAGACGUGGUGACAGUUGCAGUGUUGGUGCUCUUAACUUGGGGGAGCACAGUUCCCAGUCCUCCCGCAGAGAGGGAGGCACUGGUGCUCAAAAACACAUUACUGUCUUGACAGCUCUGAAGCUGGCCCUUUGGGAGAAGCUGGUGUCUUCACCGCAGGGCGGGGGAUUUGCCUGUAAGCCCGAGCAGCCCGCCUGGCAGACAAUUUGGCACGGCCUCAGGCAGGACGGCUGGGAGAAGCUCUGCAAUGUGCCAGGCAAUGAUCCCUCGAAGACCCCUUCCCCAGCAGAACACUCUGCAGCCUCAGGGAUUUGCAGCCGUUUCUGUGCUUGAGGAUAACCGUGCACACACCUGAGCAGAG
Heterocephalus glaber (naked mole-rat) is the source of this 1024-nucleotide long non-coding RNA. NCBI's taxonomy places the organism in Eukaryota, Metazoa, Chordata, Mammalia, Rodentia, Bathyergidae. The record is from Ensembl.